AUACUUACCUGGCAGGGGAGAUACCAUGAUCACGAAGGUGGUUUUCCCAGGGCGAGGCUUAUCCAUUGC
Small nuclear RNA from Moschus moschiferus (Siberian musk deer), 69 nucleotides. Its record names the gene U1. It matches the Rfam family "U1 spliceosomal RNA". From Rfam's summary of the family: U1 is a small nuclear RNA (snRNA) component of the spliceosome (involved in pre-mRNA splicing). Its 5' end forms complementary base pairs with the 5' splice junction, thus defining the 5' donor site of an intron. There are significant differences in sequence and secondary structure between metazoan and yeast U1 snRNAs, the latter being much longer (568 nucleotides as compared to 164 nucleotides in human). Lineage: Eukaryota; Metazoa; Chordata; Mammalia; Artiodactyla; Moschidae. The record is from Ensembl.